GACGAACGCUGGCGGCGUGCCUAAUACAUGCAAGUUGAGCGCUGAAGGUUGGUACUUGUACCAACUGGAUGAGCAGCGAACGGGUGAGUAACGCGUGGGGAAUCUGCCUUUGAGCGGGGGACAACAUUUGGAAACGAAUGCUAAUACCGCAUAAAAACUUUAAACACAAGUUUUAAGUUUGAAAGAUGCAAUUGCAUCACUCAAAGAUGAUCCCGCGUUGUAUUAGCUAGUUGGUGAGGUAAAGGCUCACCAAGGCGAUGAUACAUAGCCGACCUGAGAGGGUGAUCGGCCACAUUGGGACGGAGACACGGCCCAAACUCCUACGGGAGGCAGCAGUAGGGAAUCUUCGGCAAUGGACGAAAGUCUGACCGAGCAACGCCGCGUGAGGGAAGAAGGUUUUCGGAUCGUAAAACUCUGUUGGUAGAGAAGAACGUUGGUGAGAGUGGAAAGCUCAUCAAGUGACGGUAACUACCCAGAAAGGGACGGCUAACUACGUG
This 497-nucleotide ribosomal RNA is filed under the name uncultured bacterium. RNAcentral describes it as "partial 16S ribosomal RNA". It matches the Rfam family "Bacterial small subunit ribosomal RNA", at positions 28 to 507 of the family's 1533-position model. The record is from RNAcentral.